Ornithorhynchus anatinus (platypus) is the source of this 199-nucleotide long non-coding RNA. RefSeq lists it as uncharacterized. The record is from RefSeq and is a predicted model, not a curated record. The transcript is spliced from 2 exons. Lineage: Eukaryota; Metazoa; Chordata; Mammalia; Monotremata; Ornithorhynchidae.
GGGCUUCAUUCGCUCUGAUUUCAGGAACUUUGGGACCUAGGAUUAGACAGCAGAAGGGCAACAAGAAGGUAUCGAUGGGCUUUCCGCCUAACGUAUUCCCGGAGCUGCCUUUAUUGGAGACAUCUUUCUGGAAACCCACUUCAGUUAAAGCAGAGGACUGGAGGCUAUAGUACUUUAAUAAAGAAUAUAAUGAAAACAG